GAUGAACGCUGGCGGCGUGCCUAAUACAUGCAAGUCGAGCGAACGGACGAGAAUCUUGCUUUUCUGAUGUUAGCGGCGGACGGGUGACUAACACGUGGAUCACCUAUCUAUAAGCCUCGGCUAACUUCUGGAACUCGGAGACAGUAUCGGAUAAUAUUUUGAACCGCAUGGUUCUUCAUUUAAUGACGGUCUUGCUUUCAGUUAUAGAUGAUUCGGCGCUGGAUUAUCUGGUUGGUAAUGUAAGGGCUUACUACGACAACGAUGCAUAGGCGCCGUGAGAGGGUGAUGGGCGACAGUGGAACUGAGACACGGUCAAGACUCAGACGCGAGGCAGCAGCAGGGGUUCGGCCGCAAUGGGCGAAGGCCUGACCGUGAAGCGGCGCGUGAGUGAGGAAGAUCUUCGGAUUGUAAAAGUCUGUUAUUAGGGAAGAAGAGAUGUGUAAGUAACUGGGCGCAUCGUGACGGUAGCUAAACAGAAAGCCCCGGCUAACUACGUG
Molecule: ribosomal RNA, 497 nt
Filed under: uncultured bacterium
Lineage: Bacteria
Description: partial 16S ribosomal RNA
Rfam family: Bacterial small subunit ribosomal RNA
Source: RNAcentral